Molecule: ribosomal RNA, 354 nt
Filed under: uncultured bacterium
Lineage: Bacteria
Description: partial 16S ribosomal RNA
Rfam family: Bacterial small subunit ribosomal RNA
Source: RNAcentral
CCUACGGGAGGCAGCAGUGGGGAAUAUUGGACAAUGGGGGGAACCCUGAUCCAGCGACGCCGCGUGAGUGAAGAAGUAUUUCGGUAUGUAAAGCUCUAUCAGCAGGGAAGAAAAUGACGGUACCUGACUAAGAAGCCCCGGCUAACUACGUGCCAGCAGCCGCGGUAAUACGUAGGGGGCAAGCGUUAUCCGGAUUUAAUGGGUGUAAAGGGAGCGUAGGCGGUGCAGCAAGUCUGAUGUGAAAGGGCGGGGGCCAACCCCCGGACUGCAGUGGAAACUGUUGAACUUGAGUAAAGGAGAGGUAAGCGGAAUGCGUGGUGUAGCGGUGAAAUGCGUAGAUAUUAGGAGGAACAC